CCUGCGGAAGGAUCAUUGUUGAGAUAUCAAAACAUAAUCAUUUGUUUGCUAUUUAGGCGAUUGGAUUGCAUUACGGAAGAUGCUCUCCUUGAUGCCUCAGCUUAUGUUAACCAAAUAUGAGCCUUUUAAAAUUUCUGUACCUUACAUUUCUUUUAGAUUUCUCGUAUGGAAGGAAUAAAAGGCUUAGUGCUAUUGUUACCAAGUAUGGUAUGGGAAAUUUCGGGCAUCGUCCCAUUUUAGGAUUAGGAGGCCCGAACAAUAAAUCAUAUGACUCUCGACAAUGGAUAUCUUGGCUCUCUCUUCGAUGAAGAACGUAGCAAAAUAUGAUACUUAAUGUGAAUUGCAGAAUCUCGUGAAUCAUUGAGUCUUUGAAUGUAAGUUGUGCCCGACACUUUUUAGUUAAGGGCAUGUCUGCUUGGGUAUCAUGCUUCUAUUUUUUUCACACAAAAAUUUCUGUCUGGAGAAAUUCUUGGCCUUCCAUACAAGCACGGAUGUGGUUGGUCGAAGCGUAAUCGAAUGGUUUCUAACGUAUGGCAUAAUAUGUUUUGGUGGAUUUCAUAGCCCUAAAUAUGUUUCAUGAAUUGCUUCAUGUGUGCCAUAAAAAAUCCUAUUUGAUUGAUAUUUAUAACAAAGGAAGCCGUCGGCUUUUUGUGAUCCCAGGUUUGGCAUGGACACUCGCUGAGCUUAAGCAUAUCA
RNAcentral lists this ribosomal RNA (696 nucleotides) under Afrothismia foertheriana. Its description in RNAcentral is "eukaryotic LSU rRNA". The stretch from base 270 to 425 matches the Rfam family "5.8S ribosomal RNA". Lineage: Eukaryota; Viridiplantae; Streptophyta; Magnoliopsida; Dioscoreales; Burmanniaceae. The record is from RNAcentral.